RNAcentral lists this ribosomal RNA (239 nucleotides) under uncultured bacterium. Its description in RNAcentral is "partial 16S ribosomal RNA". It matches the Rfam family "Bacterial small subunit ribosomal RNA", at positions 116 to 354 of the family's 1533-position model. The record is from RNAcentral.
CGUGAGCAAUCUGCCUUGGAGUGGGGAAUAACGGUUGGAAACAGCCGCUAAUACCGCAUGAUGCGUCUGGGAGGCAUCUCUCUGGACGCCAAAGAUUUAUCGCUCUGAGAUGAGCUCGCGUCUGAUUAGCUAGUUGGCGGGGUAACGGCCCACCAAGGCGACGAUCAGUAGCCGGACUGAGAGGUUGGCCGGCCACAUUGGGACUGAGACACGGCCCAGACUCCUACGGAAGGCAGCAG